AUAUCAAUAAUCUUAUGAACUCGAGUGUAUGAGUGGAUGUGGUUGUAAAAUUACAAAGUCAAUGCAGAGAUCUACUGGGUAAGGAAAAUGGUAGUUGGAUUUUUGGAAGGCUGAUUGACUUGAGGCUGGAAAUGGGAGUGUUUUGUUUUUCUUUUCUCUCUUUGGUCCUCCCAUGCCAUUUCCCAAAUGCUAUCUCAUGAGUGGGGGGAUUAAUAAAAAAUACUUUUCACUGGAAAUCUCUUACCACCUAUAGGUUUAUAGGUAUAGUCUUUUUUUUUAAUUAAAAAAGUCAUGGACUUUUAUUAUCAUUCACAUACUUCACAGAAAAGGAAAUGUAGCAAAUGGGUCAGAGUUGUAUAAAAAGACAUCUGGGAACAGGACGGUCCUGAUAUCCAGCACAGCUGCACUGUCCCAUGCCCCUUUGCAGAUGAGGUCCUGGGCACACUUGGCACAGCCCACAGAGCAGCAGGAGCAGCAGCUCUUCUUGCAGAAGGUGCAUUUGCAUUUUUUGCAUUUUCAGGAUCCAGCACAGGUGCAGGAGCCACCAGUGGUCAGGAACAGCUGCAGUUCGUUUGGACCAAGGAGGAGACUGGACACACACAGAGGAGAAGACCACAUGAAGAAAGGUCUGAAGAUACUGGUCUUGAUUAGAGUGAAGAGGGAACAAUCCAAGGAACGCCCACAAUGACCAGGAGCUGGAAGAGGCAAAAGGAUGAAUUCUCCCCUAAAGCCUCCACAGAGAGCAUGGCCCUGCUGACAUCUUGGUUUCAGCCUAGUGAUACUGAUUUUGGGUUUUUGGCCUCCAGAACUGUAAGUAAAUAGAUCUGUGCUGUUUCAAGCCAUCAGAUUUGUGGUAAUUUGUUAUAGCAGGUUCAGGAAAGUAACACAGUAGGACUGGCACUUCCAUGUGCAAGUUAGAUGUAGCCAUGUGUUUGCUUUGGCUGACUCCAAGUGAGUGGAAGUGAUAUGUGUCUUUAGGGCAAGUGCCUGCUUUUCCAUGUUCUCUUUUCCAUUUGGUGAUGGAAAGUUUGGAGAUGGUAGCUGUCUUGUUGUCCUGGUAGAUUAGAGUUCUCCAGAGAGAAUCAAUAGGAUAUAUAUAUAUAUAUAUAUAUAUGAAAAAUGUCUUUUAUAUAAAAUUAUUCUAUAUAUAAAAAUACAUAUUUAUAUGUUGCAUAUAUUAAUUUAUUAUAGGAAUUGACCUGUGUGAUUACAGAGGCUCAGAAGUCCUGUGAUCUGCCAUCUUCAAGCUGGAGAACCAGGAACCUGAUAGAGUAAUUCAGUCUGAAUCUGAGGCCUGAGAACUGUGGGGUUCAGUGGGGACAGGCUGAUGGUUUAAUUUCCUGGCCCAAAUCAGAAGACUUGAGGAUGAGGAGUAUGAAUUCUCAGGUCAGGAGAAGAAGAAUGUCCCAGUUCAAAGAGAGGAGAGUGAAUUCACCCUUUCUCUACAUUUUCAUUUUAUUUAUGCUCUCAACAAAUCGGAUGAUGGUUGCCCACAUUAGUGAUGGUGAUCUUCUUUACUCACUCUACCAAUUCAAAUGCAAAUCUUUUCCUGAAACACCUGUACACAUUAGAAAUAAUGCUUUUUACCAGCUAUCUGGGCAUCCCUUAGUCCUGCCAAGUUGACAUACAAAAUUAACUAUCAUGCUUGGGUCUCUGAGUGACCAUGUUGAAAAGAACUCCCUUGUUGACUUACAAAGAACAUAAGUGUGAUUGCAAAAUUAAUCUUUGUGGUUUCAGGCUCCUGAGACUUAGGGAUUGUUUUGCAAGCCUCUCCUAGCUGGAGGAAAGGAGGCUGAUUGGCUGCUGUUGAAACAUUCCCAGUAACUCUUUGUUGUACCUUUUGUUCUUCAGUGGUCCUGUGGUCCCUGGAACCUCUCCUCUGGAAUCCCAGGGAAGCCAGGACAGUCACAAGCCAUGACCUCCAUAUUUAGCAUCUCAUGUGAUGAUAAUGCAUAAUUCAAGGUUCUAUAGUCAAAUAAGUCUAGAAAUGCUGGGCUAUUCAAGGUGAAAUGGUUUAAUCUUCCUAUAAGAUUUCUCAGAGGCUUCUGCAUACAGUGCAGUUCUAUAGGAUGAGGAUGUAGUAUACAAUGCUUUAAAUCUCUAUUUGUCAGACUGAGGCAGAUCCCAGGUGAAACUAGCUCUUUAUAGCAUUGGGCCAUGAUACUUCCCAUGUGUAUCAUUAACACACCACAUUCCCUCACCCAGCUGACCCGGGGCAGCGUAGGUGUAGGAUAGCUUUAACCUGUCUACCUGUUCAGUAUGAAAUGGACUGUAUUAGACUGUCAGGAUAGCAGAUUAAUACAUAACUUAUAGACUUUUACCUGACAGAUGAUGAGGGCAGGCUUUAGGUGCAAUGGUGGAGUGAUUUGCCUGAGUUUUUCUUAUUCCCUGCAUUUGCCACUUUGUGCCUGCCCCAAAGCCUGGUUGUUUGAAGGAUGGAUCCAAGGGCUUGAACUUGCAGGGCCUCUUUUCAGCCAUUAUUUGGGUGCAUUCCACCUCGCAAUUUUCUUGGAUAUUUUUCCAUCUCUGCAAUGGUUGAAAUCCCAACCCUAGAGUUCUUGGAGCUCACAGGCACUAAGAAACAGGUCCCUGCUUUUUAUUACCCAUAGUCUUUGGAAAGACUUAAAGUGCUCUUUUAACAUUCAAGACCACAUGAAUCUUUAUGAGAAAAAUAAUGUUUGCCAAAAUGAAGAAUCAGCAUAAAAGUUCAAGUGACCUGACUAAUAAAAAAGUAAAUAAGUAAAAAUAAAAAGGGACUUGACUGGUCCCACGCUUAACAGAACCUGGCAGAAAAGUCAGUCCUUCUGGCAUUGUUGAGUACCUGUGAUAAAUUUCAAAAAUGGGCUCCAAUUCUUCACCACUCCCCAGAUCCACUCCCUUUAUACAGCUCUUCCCCUUGGUGUGUUGUUUUGAUUCUUCCUUCACUCUGAACUCAGCCGUGUGGUUUGCUGUGGGCCAGUGGUGCACCAGCU
Long non-coding RNA from Callithrix jacchus (white-tufted-ear marmoset), 2972 nucleotides. The record is from Ensembl. Lineage: Eukaryota; Metazoa; Chordata; Mammalia; Primates; Cebidae.